This is a long non-coding RNA of Mustela lutreola (European mink), 806 nucleotides long. RefSeq lists it as uncharacterized. The record is from RefSeq and is a predicted model, not a curated record. Lineage: Eukaryota; Metazoa; Chordata; Mammalia; Carnivora; Mustelidae. The transcript is spliced from 6 exons.
AAGAAAUCUAAGCAAACCUGAGGGGUCAGUUCCCGAGACAGAGGUUGGAAAUUUGCAUCUGGGGGAGAGCCAGUUCGGUCCCUCUGUAGCCUAAAUGGAGCAAGGUGACUGGGAAGGGGGCAGGCUUCCAGCAUCUGCUCCUCCAGGACAGCCCCUUCUUUCUGCCUGGCACACGCGCCGCUGAACACAAGGGUUCGAGCCCGGAGAACACCGGGACACCCAGCCCGACCCUAACUGUCCAGCCUGCCUGCAGCAGCCCCUGGAACACGUGCGAGAGGCCGCUCAGUCGUCGAGAGCUGCGCUGUCCAGCCCUUUCCCGCGUCGAUCCCGCGCGGAAUCCCCUCAGGCGCCGUGAAAGAAGCUAUUGGUUGACAACAAAACCCUUAGCCUACAUAGGUCACUGGUUCUCAAAGUAGAUGCGGCUACCCCACCCCACACCACUUUAUCCCUAAAGUGGGAUUCCAGAAGGCCAGAACCAUUUUCAUAAUUGUGGAAAAUAUAAUGGAAUUUCCGUCUGUGCAUUUGGAAAGGCUGUAUAACUUAGUGAACCAACAUUCUCCACUUGAUCAAUGCAUCGUGUUACAAAAUCAUGCGUGGAUUGUAUUUUGGAGAGCUAAUUCUGUCAGUUACUAGGAAUCAUCAUUUGCCUUCCCAUGUCUUGCUGAAUCUGCUUUCUACAUUGGGGUAGUAGUGACUCUUACAGAUCCAGGGACAUCACGCUGUGACAACGGAAGCGGAAAUCACAGUGCUGUCCCCACCAGCCAAGGAACACCAGGGAUGGCCAGCAAAUACCAGAAGCUGGAAAA